This 91-nucleotide transfer RNA is filed under the name Shigella phage vB_SboS_Gloob. Its description in RNAcentral is "tRNA-Ser". It matches the Rfam family "tRNA". From Rfam's summary of the family: Transfer RNA (tRNA) molecules are approximately 80 nucleotides in length. Lineage: Duplodnaviria; Heunggongvirae; Uroviricota; Caudoviricetes; Pantevenvirales; Ackermannviridae. The record is from RNAcentral.
UGGAAGGUUGCCCGAGAGGUUUAAGAGACUCGACUGCUAAUCGAGUGGGGCUUUUAGCCCCCGAAGGUUCGAAUCCUUCACCUUCCGCCAA